Molecule: long non-coding RNA, 576 nt
Organism: Microtus ochrogaster (prairie vole)
Lineage: Eukaryota; Metazoa; Chordata; Mammalia; Rodentia; Cricetidae
Gene: Ndufaf2
Exons: 3
Source: RefSeq, a predicted model, not a curated record
CCUUCCAAGGCCAUGUAAGGCAACACUGGAAAAGGGCUUGUGUCUGGCAUGGUGCCAUACAAUACCUUCAUCAAUUAUCUGCCUACACACAUCCCUGAAGCCACUGAAAUUUACAGAAUUGUUCUGUUGGAGACCUGCAAUUGUCAAAGAGUCUGGGCAGCCGGGAAAUGAACAAAACAGCCUCUGUCUACACUCAUGUGUCCCGGCAUCUAAGUAACAGAAGUCGUUCCGAUACUUCCAAGCUGCUACCAACCACUGCGCCUUUGCUGCUGGUGUGUUCCCACCUGUACUGACUUCUUUUGUCAAUCUGACACAAACCAGAGUCUCCUGAGAAGACAGACCUUCAGUUGAAGAAUUGCCUCUGUUAGAUCCAUGGCCUAUAGGCAUGUCUGUGGAGUUCUUCCUUGACUAAUGUUUGCUGUGAGCAGAUCCAACUUAGCAUGGGUGGUGCCAGCCCAAGGUAGGUGAUCCUGUGUUGUUAAGGAAGCCAGCUGAGCAAGCCAGUAAGCAGUGUUCCUCCUCCGUCUCUGCUUCACUUCCUGCCUCCGGCUUCCGGCCUUGGUGUCCCUCAAUGAU